AGGACGAACGCUGGCGGCGUGCUUCACACAUGCAAGUCGAACGGGGCUCAUUCGGUGGUAACACCGGAGAAGGCCUAGUGGCGAACGGGUGCGUAACACGUGAAGAACCUGCCCCGAAGACUGGGAUAACAGCGGGAAACCGCUGCUAAUACCGGAUGACCCCACCAGGCCGCAUGGCCAGGUGGGGAAAUGGGCCUACCGCUUCGGGAGGGCUUCGCGGCCUAUCAGCUUGUUGGUGGGGUAACGGCCUACCAAGGCUACGACGGGUAGCUGGUCUGAGAGGACGACCAGCCACACUGGGACUGAGACACGGCCCAGACUCCUACGGGAGGCAGCAGUGGGGAAUCUUGCGCAAUGGGCGAAAGCCUGACGCAGCAACGCCGCGUGAGGGAUGAAGGUCUUCGGGUUGUAAACCUCUUUCGAGCAGGGACGAUUGUGACGGUACCUGCAGAAGAAGCUCGGCCAACUACGCGCCAGCAGCCGC
This 484-nucleotide ribosomal RNA is filed under the name uncultured bacterium. Its description in RNAcentral is "SSU rRNA". It matches the Rfam family "Bacterial small subunit ribosomal RNA", at positions 26 to 518 of the family's 1533-position model. The record is from RNAcentral.